RNAcentral lists this long non-coding RNA (342 nucleotides) under Nicotiana benthamiana. Its description in RNAcentral is "long non-coding RNA (NBEN_LNC016559)". The record is from RNAcentral. Lineage: Eukaryota; Viridiplantae; Streptophyta; Magnoliopsida; Solanales; Solanaceae.
UACAAUAUAUACAAAUAACAUACGGACGGGUCGGGUCGGGUGCUCCGGCCCAAAUUAAAUAAUGACAUGUGGGCUCAGACGCACAAAUCAUCAUAGCCCAAUUACAACCCAAUUACAAGGUAUAUCAUGGAAAUACCAAAAAUAUACACUGAGUAUACACAAAAUGUACAAGUCUAGACAAAGCUAAAUCAUGUAGUUUCUCUUAUCUCAACACCCCCCCUCAAGUUGGAGGGGGAAACCACCUGCAACUUCGUGAGCAGCGGAAGAAGCAAAGUGCGAGGCAGUGGCUUAGUGAGCAGGCCGGCCAGCUGACGAGAAGUAGGCACAUGAAGCAGCUUGAGA